GGAAUCUUCCACAAUGGACGAAAGUCUGAUGGAGCAACGCCGCGUGAGUGAAGAAGGUCUUCGGAUCGUAAAGCUCUGUUGUUGGUGAAGAAGGAUAGAGGCAGUAACUGGUCUUUAUUUGACGGUAAUCAACCAGAAAGUCACGGCUAACUACGUGCCAC
This 161-nucleotide ribosomal RNA is filed under the name uncultured bacterium. RNAcentral describes it as "partial 16S rRNA". It matches the Rfam family "Bacterial small subunit ribosomal RNA", at positions 358 to 511 of the family's 1533-position model. The record is from RNAcentral.